CGCGCAGGCGGUUUGGUAAGUCAGAUGUGAAAUUCACCGGCUCAACCGGUUGAACUGCAUCCGAUACUGCCAGACUUGAGAUCAGUAGAGGAGAGUGGAAUUCCCAGUGUAGCGGUGGAAUGCGUAGAUAUUGGGAAGAACACCGGUGGCGAAGGCGGCUCUCUGGACUGAUUCUGACGCUGAGGCGCGAAAGCUAGGGGAGCGAACA
This 208-nucleotide ribosomal RNA is filed under the name uncultured bacterium. RNAcentral describes it as "partial 16S ribosomal RNA". It matches the Rfam family "Bacterial small subunit ribosomal RNA", at positions 568 to 774 of the family's 1533-position model. The record is from RNAcentral.